AGAUCUUGUUGCAUUCAUUGGAUGUACACGUGAUUCAUUAGGUAUUUGUGCUAGCAGUUCGGGUGGGAUAGCUGGACUUCUCCUUUGGAAAGUAUAAUAUAUAAGUGUGCAAACUAGUAUUUGAAAUAUUAUUAGGAAAAUGGUGGAAAUUGGGAAAAUUGCUCAACCAGCAGCAAUGGAAAGAGGAUACCUGGCUCUAUUGAUGAUACCACACAUCAGUUUAGGUCAAUGGGUGCAAGAUACAUAUUAGUAGUGGAGAAAGAUGCUGUGUUUACUUAUCUUUGCGGUCAACGUAUUUGGGACAGUCUUCCCUGCAUUUUAAUGACUGGGUGUGGCUAUCCAUCGCUGAGCGUUCGUGCACUAUUAAAGCAACUCCAGACCCAGUUCGA
Molecule: long non-coding RNA, 389 nt
Organism: Amphimedon queenslandica
Lineage: Eukaryota; Metazoa; Porifera; Demospongiae; Haplosclerida; Niphatidae
Exons: 3
Source: RefSeq, a predicted model, not a curated record